UUCUGAAAUGAUUCUGGCAUUUGAUCUCAACCUGCUGACCUAACCUAACGAACAACAGGGGAAUAGCAGAAAGAACAAUUUUACUUUUGAAUUUUAUUAUUGUGUCAAUUCGCAGUUUCUGAGUUUAAAAAUUUCAUAUAACAGUAUUUCAUAUAAGUUAACAGUAACCGAGAAUCCAGAGAUGGUCUAGCGGCCAAAGCGUUAGACAUUGCUGCAUUAAGUUCUGAAGUUACGGUAACUGUGUUAGCAUCACAGAUUAUAAGAUACGUCUGGGGUUCACGCCUCACUCAGACCCAGAGCUGUAGAGUGUAAUAAUUCAGUAAUUGAGGUGGGCAAUGUGGUUCCUUUAAAUUACCGGAACGGACCCUCAAUUACCGGAACAGACCCCGGUCCAGAAAUUUAAUAGCAAAGACAGAAAGAUCUGAAGAUACAUUUAUACUACAGUACGGUACUAGAUAUCUUGGUGAAUAAAUUUUGACAUUAUUUUCUUUCAACUUCAUAACAAUGUCUUCUAAGCAGAAUAUCACACUUCAUAUGGAUGGAAUAAAUGCUUGUGAAUCAAGAGAAUAUGAGCAAGCUUUGAAACUUUUCAAGCGAAUCGCAGAACCUUCGGCUGUGAUAUUCUUCAACAUGGGAUGCUGUUACUUGAAACUAAAUAACUUCACAGAAGCUCUCAAGGUCAGAUUUUUGUUUUGUCUUAAUUUUUUUUUUUCAGUUUUGUCUUUAGAGCAUUGUAGCACAACAUGAUAAGAAACAACAUGAUAAACGAGAAUAUCAGUCAGAGACCGAAGAAUUAUUGAUCGAAAGUUAGGGGAUCCCCAAAACAGCGCUCUUACUCCAUAGUGACACCUUGUGUCCCA
Non-coding RNA from Styela clava, 860 nucleotides. The record is from RefSeq and is a predicted model, not a curated record. Lineage: Eukaryota; Metazoa; Chordata; Ascidiacea; Stolidobranchia; Styelidae.